Molecule: non-coding RNA, 6873 nt
Organism: Sus scrofa (pig)
Lineage: Eukaryota; Metazoa; Chordata; Mammalia; Artiodactyla; Suidae
Source: RefSeq, a predicted model, not a curated record
CCCGCCCAGGCCCGCGGCCGCCCGGGUGUCCUCGCGCCGCCUGUCCGCGCGCAGCCUGGCAGUUUGCCUCUUCCUCGCCCUCCAGCCUGCGUCCAUGGCCACCGCCGCGACCGAGGAGCCCUUCCCCUUCCACGGCCUCCUCCCAAAGAAAGAGACCGGGGCCGCUUCCUUCCUCUGCCGCUACCCGGAGUAUGACGGGCGGGGGGUGCUCAUCGCCGUCCUGGACACCGGGGUCGACCCCGGGGCUCCGGGCAUGCAGGUCACAACGGAUGGAAAACCGAAAAUCAUUGACAUCAUUGACACGACGGGAAGUGGUGACGUGAACACGGCCACGGUAGCAGAGCCCAAGGACGGUGAACUCAUUGGCCUUUCGGGAAGAGUGCUUAAGAUUCCUGCAAGCUGGACAAAUCCCUCAGGCAGAUACCACAUUGGCAUAAAAAAUGGCUAUGAUUUCUACCCAAAGGCUCUCAAGGAAAGGAUACAGAAAGAACGGAAGGAAAAAAUCUGGGACCCUGUACACCGAGUGGCCCUUGCAGAAGCCUGUCGAAAACAGGAAGAGUUUGAUGUUGCCAACAGUUGCCCUUCUCAAGUUGGUGCCAGUUGCUUUGAUAUUCUUUCCCAUUAUAGAUUAUUACAAGAUAUUGAAUGUAGUUCCCUGUGCUAUACAGCAAAUAAACUAAUCAAGGAGGAGCUUCAGAGUCAAGUGGAGCUGCUCAACUCUUUUGAGAAAAAGUAUAGUGAUCCUGGCCCUGUGUACGACUGCUUGGUGUGGCAUGAUGGGGAGACCUGGAGAGCCUGCAUUGAUUCGAAUGAAGAUGGGGAUUUGAGUAAAUCGACUGUUUUGAGAAACUACAAAGAGGCCCAGGAAUAUGGUUCUUUUGGCACAGCUGAGAUGUUGAAUUACUCCGUUAACAUUUACGAUGAGGGAAACCUGCUCUCCAUUGUGACCAGUGGAGGAGCUCAUGGAACCCACGUAGCUAGUAUCGCUGCCGGGCAUUUUCCCGAAGAACCGGAGCGGAAUGGCGUAGCACCUGGUGCUCAGAUUCUUUCCAUCAAGAUUGGUGACACCAGACUAAGCACAAUGGAAACAGGCACAGGCCUCAUCAGAGCUAUGAUAGAAGUUAUAAAUCAUAAGUGUGAUCUUGUCAACUACAGCUAUGGAGAAGCAACUCACUGGCCAAAUUCUGGGAGAAUUUGUGAAGUAAUUAGUGAAGCAGUGUGGAAGCAUAAUAUAAUUUAUGUUUCGAGUGCUGGAAAUAACGGUCCCUGCCUUUCUACAGUCGGGUGUCCAGGUGGAACCACAUCAAGUGUGAUAGGGGUUGGUGCCUACGUUUCUCCUGACAUGAUGGUUGCCGAGUACUCGCUGCGAGAGAAGUUACCUGCAAACCAGUACACGUGGUCUUCCAGAGGCCCCAGUGCCGACGGGGCCCUGGGCGUGAGCAUCAGUGCCCCGGGGGGAGCCAUCGCCUCUGUCCCCAACUGGACCUUGAGGGGAACUCAGCUCAUGAACGGGACGUCCAUGUCUUCUCCCAACGCCUGCGGGGGCAUCGCACUGAUUCUCUCAGGUCUGAAAGCUAACAAUGCUGAUUACACGGUUCAUUCCGUCAGAAGAGCUCUAGAAAACACGGCAGUGAAGGCCGACAACAUAGAAGUGUUUGCCCAAGGACACGGUAUUAUCCAGGUUGAUAAAGCCUAUGACUACCUCGUUCAGAACACAUCAUUUGCUAAUAAGUUAGGUUUCACUGUUACUGUUGGAAAUAACCGUGGCAUCUACCUCCGAGAUCCUAUUCAGGUGGCUGCACCUUCAGAUCAUGGCGUUGGCAUUGAGCCUGUGUUUCCAGAAAAUACUGAAAACUCUGAAAAAAUAUCCCUUCAGCUUCAUUUAGCUUUAACUUCGAAUUCCUCUUGGGUUCAGUGUCCCAGCCACUUGGAGCUCAUGAAUCAAUGUAGACACAUAAACAUACGUGUGGAUCCCAGGGGCUUGAGAGAAGGAUUGCAUUACACAGAGGUCUGUGGCUAUGACACAGCGUCUCCGAAUGCAGGCCCUCUGUUCCGAGUCCCCAUCACCGCAGUGAUAGCAGCAAAAGUCAAUGAAUCAUCCCAUUAUGACCUAGCCUUUACCGACGUACACUUUAAACCUGGGCAGAUUCGAAGGCAUUUUAUUGAGGUUCCUGAGGGUGCGACGUGGGCUGAAGUCACGGUGUGUUCCUGUUCUUCUGAGGUGUCCGCCAAGUUUGUCCUUCACGCAGUGCAGCUUGUGAAGCAGAGAGCGUACCGAAGUCACGAGUUCUACAAGUUUUGUUCCCUUCCAGAGAAAGGAACCCUGACAGAAGCUUUUCCUGUCUUAGGUGGGAAAGCAAUUGAGUUUUGCAUUGCUCGUUGGUGGGCAAGUCUUAGUGACGUCAACAUUGAUUAUACCAUUUCCUUCCACGGGAUAGUAUGUACUGCUCCUCAGUUAAACAUCCAUGCAUCAGAGGGAAUCAACCGUUUUGAUGUUCAGUCCUCCCUGAAAUAUGAAGAUCUGGCUCCCUGCAUAACUUUGAAGAGCUGGGUCCAAACGCUACGUCCACUGAGUGCAAAAACAAAGCCUUUAGGAUCAAGAGAUGUUUUGCCAAAUAAUCGUCAGCUCUAUGAGAUGAUCCUGACAUACAACUUUCAUCAACCCAAGAGUGGGGAGGUCACUCCAAGCUGCCCCCUGCUUUGUGAAUUAUUAUACGAGUCAGAAUUUGACAGCCAGCUGUGGAUUAUAUUUGACCAGAACAAAAGACAGAUGGGUUCCGGCGAUGCCUAUCCUCAUCAGUAUUCUUUGAAACUGGAGAAAGGAGAUUAUACAAUUCGACUACAGAUUCGUCAUGAGCAAAUCAGUGAUUUGGAGCGUCUUAAAGAUCUUCCGUUUAUUGUUUCUCAUAGGUUGUCUAAUACCUUGAGCUUAGAUAUUCAUGAAAAUCAUAGCCUUGCACUUCUAGGGAAGAAGAAAUCAAGUAACUUGACAUUGCCACCCAAAUAUAACCAGCCGUUCUUUGUUACUUCCUUACCUGAUGACAAGAUACCUAAAGGGGCAGGACCGGGUUGCUACCUUUCAGGAUCCUUAACGUUGUCAAAGACCGAACUUGGAAAGAAAGCCGGGCAGUCUGCAGCAAAACGACAAGGAAAAUUUAAAAAGGAUGUAAUCCCUGUUCACUACUACCUGAUAUCGCCACCAACAAAGACCAAGAAUGGCAGCAAGGACAAAGACAAAGAUUCUGAAAAAGAGAAGGAUUUAAAAGAAGAGUUUACUGAAGCGCUACGAGAUCUUAAAAUUCAGUGGAUGACGAAGCUGGAUUCUAGUGACAUUUACAAUGAAUUGAAAGAAACGUAUCCGAAUUAUCUUCCUCUCUAUGUUGCACGACUUCAUCAGUUGGAUGCUGAAAAGGAACGAAUGAAAAGACUUAAUGAAAUCGUUGAAGCUGCAAAUGCUGUUAUUUCUCACAUAGAUCAAACGGCCCUAGCAGUUUAUAUUGCGAUGAAGACUGACCCCAGGCCUGAUGCAGCUAUUAUAAAAAAUGACAUGGACAAGCAGAAGUCGACGCUCGUGGACGCCCUCUGUCGGAAAGGCUGCGCCCUGGCCGACCACCUCCUCCAGGCCCAGGAGCAGGAGGGGGCUGUGUCGAGCGAUGCGGAAGGGAGAGAGGAGGAGGGCGAGGGCACCCUGGACUCCCUGACGGAAACCUUCUGGGAGACCACCAAGUGGACCGACCUUUUUGACAGCAAGGUACGCUUUCUGCCUCCCGCUUUGCCGCAGUUCUGGGGCGGGGCGCGGCCCAGGUGUCUCUUGCUUCUGGCCCACCAGCCACAGAGGCCGGUGGUUGGGACGAGGCUGAGCUGGGCUCUGAGGCUCCCUUGUCCUCCUGGCUUUAAAAGCCCCGGGCUCUUGUUCUGUCCAUCUGCACAGCAGCUGGGGACCAGGCUGGUUUGGAAACCAGCGGGAGCAUGUGCCUGUCGCGGGCUUUGGUUAAGCCAUUGAGGUAGAAGCUGAGGUCAAGGACCUCAGAGGUUGUCUCUGGGCCUCCCCACAUCUGCCUGCAUGCUGACUUGUCAGGGAUACAGGUGGGGGUAUCCUGCUUAGUUUAGAUAUACCUUGCUCCAGACGUCUAGAUAAUUUUCGUCUGACCAGCUUUUAUUUAUUGACUGAUUUGUCUUUUUAGGGCCACACACAUAGCAUAUAGAGGUUCCCAGGCUAGGGAGCUGCAGCCCCGGCCUUCACCACAGCCACAGCAAUGCCAGAUCUGAGCUGCAGCCACAACCUAUACCACAGCCCACGGCAACACCAGAUCCUAAACCCACUGAGCAAGGCCAGGGAUUGAACCCGAAUCCUCAUGGAUUCUAGUUGGGUUCUUAACUCACUGAGCCAUAAUGGGAAGUCCUGAUCAGUUUUUAAUACUCAGUUUAGAAAAAGUAACGUUGAUAAAGUUUUGGGGUUUUGAUUAUAAAAGCAUUUUAAAUCCCUUGACUUUCGACUGUAAUUCUUACCACAGAGGUGAUACAACUGCAGGGUUUGUCUGCCUUCCUUUCUUCUGGACAUAAAGGAAAAUAAAGUAAAUGACAUCAGUGCCAUUCUUCCUACUCAGCACAAACGUUUUGUUUUGUUUUCAAGAGGAACUGUGGUAAUUGGGAGUAAAGACCUCUGGAAGUAGAAAAUUCUUACUGUCCACUUCCGUUUUUCCCACCUCUGUCCAGUGGGGCUUUUGUAGAAGGAAACCGAGGGAGUCAGCCCCAGAGGGAAAGAGUUUGAGUCUGAAAUCAGACCCCUGGAGCUUGAAUCCCGCCUCUGCCACUUUGACCCAUGUCACCCUAGUCUGGUCAUUGACUUCUGACAGGGGGUAGUGGUGCUGCCUACCACAGGCUUUGACGAAUGAAUGUUAGGUACACGGACGGAUGUCAGCACUACUUGCCGUUACAGCUAACAAACAGGGAUUGCACGUCUGCUGCGUGCCAGACGCUGCACCUGCUGCUGGAGAAGGAUGGUAAGAACCUGGUCCCACAGCGAGUCUGUAAGCUCUUGAACGUCACGGUGACGUUGUUACAAAUCUGUUCUCGCUGCUGCGCUCCCGUGUUCGGUCCGCCACCACUCCCUGUCCAUUUACUCUGUUUGUAGCAGCGAUUGCUCCUGUGUUCGGGCUGCCGCCACUCCCUGUCCAUUUACUCUGUUUGUAGCAGCGAUCGAAUCCUUUGUUUGACUCUAGAAUACAAAUAAAUGUGACACAAUUCCUUCCUUUGAGGACAAGAAGUGGAGACUAGCGAUAUAAGUAAAUGGUUACAAGUGUUUUUGACAGAUGCAAUGAUUAAAGGUAGAAAACUUGUACAGAAGGAAGUAGCCGAAGGUAAGUGAGCACAUGUUUACGCCAUCCGACACGCUUUUUACUCUCAUCCCCGUCUGGUUUUGGUAAUUUAUGGUGACUCUAGACCUGUACUUCUAAUCUGCAUUUUUGUAAUCAUAGACAUUGGCUCUGCUUUGUUUUUGCACAAAGAGGUAUUUUGGUAUGGAUUCCAACAGCUAGUGAUUUAUCAUAGUAAUUGCCUUCCCCCAAAUAAAUGAUCCGUUCUGUGGAACAUCAGGCUCUUUUAAAGAUGUUAGUUGUUUUCUUAAAAAGUUCUUAAAAUUCAUUUGCUGUAACAUGUUCGUUUGAAACACUUCUUUUAAAACCUUAGUUCUUUCAUUAUUAAAGCAGGCCUUAAAUUGUAAAUAUUUUGUGCAUAAGCUGUAUCUUGUUUUCCAUUGUAGGUUUUGACAUUUGCAUACAAGCAUGCAUUGGUAAAUAAAAUGUAUGGGAGAGGCCUUAAAUUUGCAACUAAACUUGUGGAGGAAAAACCAACAAAAGAAAACUGGAAAAAUUGUAUUCAACUGAUGAAGCUACUUGGAUGGACCCAUUGUGCGUCUUUUACUGAAAACUGGCUCCCCAUCAUGUAUCCUCCUGAUUAUUGUGUAUUCUAAAAUAGGAAACAAGACUUUAAAUUUUAAAAAAGAAAGUUUUAUAGUGAAUGGACAUAAAAAGAAAUUUGUGGCAUUUUUAGUCUAAUGCAUGUUUUCAUCCGCUAUCAAAUACUGAUUAUUAAAAUGAUGCGUAUUUAUCAGAGAAUUUGCUGGCGUGUGGCUUAAUACAUGUAAGUCUAGACCUCUGACAUCAUGGUGUUUUCUUAAUGCCUCCCAUUGCUGGCAGCGGGCUGUGCCCUGCCUGCCAGCACCAAGGACUUUCAGUUGGGUUGCAGCUAUUACAUGCAUGAGAGGUUUUGAACAGCAACUUUUAACUGCAAACCUGUAAAAUUCUAUUUUUUAUUUUAUAAAUGAACAGGGUUUUAACAUGCUCGACUUUAAUUUUUUUCAAUUGUAUGAAGGCCUUAAAUAAGCUACAUUAAGCGUAGCUAAAAUUAUUUAUUGGACUAAAAGUAACAGAACUUCAUUUCCAGGUUUUCGGGGGGUUUUUGGUUUUGGUGUGGUUUUUUUUUUUUUUGUUUGUUUUUUGUUUUUGUUUUUUUGCAAACGUUUACAUUCAAUUAAGGGGACAAAAUAAACCCGGCACAAAUAAAUACGUGGCAAUUGCUGGAGCGUAUCUGCUUCAAUCAAUCUUCAUCUUGGAGUUCUUUCAGGCCAAUCAUUUUUAACAUCUUCUUGACUUGCAGAGCAUCAGAAUGAACUAAUAAUACAUGUGUAAGUGCCAGACAGCUUAAAUCUGUAUCAGGUAUUGUAAAGAUACACAUAUGGUAUGUUUAUUAAAGUUGGAAAUAAUGUAAACACGUGAAUAAAUGUGCAAAACCAAGAUCCCAGUACACCAUAUGCACUCUGAUACCUUAAUUUUUUUUAUAAAUAAUAAAAGUGAAUAUUGAAGCUUCUUAAAA